CCUACGGGAGGCAGCAGUGAGGAAUAUUGGUCAAUGGUCGCGAGACUGAACCAGCCAAGCCGCGUGAGUGAUGAAGGUACAGAGUAUCGUAAACCUCUUUUGUCAGGGAACAAAUGCGGGGACGUGUCCCCGCAUGAGUGUACCUGAAGAAAAAGCAUCGGCUAACUCCGUGCCAGCAGCCGAGGGAAGACGGAGGAUGCGAGCGUUAACCGGAUUUAUUGGGUUUAAAGGGUGCGCAGGCGGUCCGGUAAGUCAGCUGUGAAAGCCCCGGGCGUAACCCCGGCCCGGCGUGUGAAACUGGCAGUCUCGAGUUGGAGAGAGGUAUGUGGAAUGCGCGGUGUAGCGGUGAAAUGCGUAGAGAUCGCGCAGAAUUCCGAUUGCGAAGGCAGCAUGCUGG
RNAcentral lists this ribosomal RNA (397 nucleotides) under uncultured bacterium. RNAcentral describes it as "partial 16S ribosomal RNA". It matches the Rfam family "Bacterial small subunit ribosomal RNA", at positions 338 to 732 of the family's 1533-position model. The record is from RNAcentral.